AGAUGCUGUCAGCCCUCUGCAAAAUGUUUCCUACAGGAUCAGUCUGAGUGCUGUGGAUGCAGAGAAAUCCAGUAAUGUAAGCAUUAGUUCCUCCUAGACACAAAGGUUCCAACAGCUGAGGAACUAUGAGAUAAACCAGACAAGCCAUUGCAGACACUUGGUUAUACUGACUGUUGUCCUGGUGAAUGCCGGAUACCAGAAGGCAACAGAGGAAUGACAGAAAAUACUUCUGGGUGUAUUCUUCAAGGAACUGAUAACAUCGGUGUUCUCCAGAGAGGAUUGCUGUGAGCCCUGCUCACAUUAUUUGAAUCUGAGGUGCAGGAGACCACAGAGGAAAGGGCACGAAGAGACUUAGGACCAAUCUUUUUCCAGACGGUGGAGUGCUGCCCAGUCCGGGCAACCAUCUGCUGUUGAACCCUGGGAAAGGGCAGGCUGGGGCUCCCGAGUCCCUCGGUGGGCUCCUCCCCAUGCCCUCAUCUGUUUUAGGCGGUG
RNAcentral lists this long non-coding RNA (492 nucleotides) under Cricetulus griseus (Chinese hamster). RNAcentral describes it as "lncRNA (ENSCGRG00015041953.1)". Lineage: Eukaryota; Metazoa; Chordata; Mammalia; Rodentia; Cricetidae. The record is from RNAcentral.